RNAcentral lists this ribosomal RNA (713 nucleotides) under Salmonella enterica. RNAcentral's name for it is "partial 23S ribosomal RNA". It matches the Rfam family "Bacterial large subunit ribosomal RNA", at positions 1 to 747 of the family's 2925-position model. The record is from RNAcentral. Lineage: Bacteria; Pseudomonadati; Pseudomonadota; Gammaproteobacteria; Enterobacterales; Enterobacteriaceae.
GGGUUGUGAGGUUAAGCGACUAAGCGUACACGGUGGAUGCCCUGGCAGUCAGAGGCGAUGAAGGGCGUGCUAAUCUGCGAUAAGCGCCGGUAAGGUGAUAUGAACCGUUAUAACCGGCGAUACCCGAAUGGGGAAACCCAGUGUGAUUCGUCACACUAUCAUUACGUGAAUACAUAGCGUAAUGAAGCGAACCGGGGGAACUGAAACAUCUAAGUACCCCGAGGAAAAGAAAUCAACCGAGAUUCCCCCAGUAGCGGCGAGCGAACGGGGAGGAGCCCAGAGCCUGAAUCAGCAUGUGUGUUAGUGGAAGCGUCUGGAAAGGCGCGCGAUACAGGGUGACAGCCCCGUACACAAAAGCGCAUGUGUUGUGAGCUCGAUGAGUAGGGCGGGACACGUGGUAUCCUGUCUGAAUAUGGGGGGACCAUCCUCCAAGGCUAAAUACUCCUGACUGACCGAUAGUGAACCAGUACCGUGAGGGAAAGGCGAAAAGAACCCCGGCGAGGGGAGUGAAAAAGAACCUGAAACCGUGUACGUACAAGCAGUGGGAGCACCCUUUGGGGUGUGACUGCGUACCUUUUGUAUAAUGGGUCAGCGACUUAUAUUCUGUAGCAAGGUUAACCGAAUAGGGGAGCCGGAGGGAAACCGAGUCUUAAUUGGGCGUUAAGUUGCAGGGUAUAGACCCGAAACCCGGUGAUCUAGCCAUGGGCAGGUUG